This 200-nucleotide unclassified non-coding RNA is filed under the name fungal sp. RNAcentral describes it as "partial internal transcribed spacer 2". The record is from RNAcentral. Lineage: Eukaryota; Fungi.
UUAAGUUCAGCGGGUAUCCCCACCUGAUCCGAGGCCAUACUUGAUGAAAUCAAGACCCAAAAGGCUGGUCACGAAUACUGUUGCGUACUGCUUCCAUCUUUGGAGUCUUCAUGUUUUUCGACCGCUCCCGGGCGGGAAUGGUCAACGCAAGGCUGAGCCUUAGGUUUAAAACGGCGCUCGAACAGGUGUGCCCCUCGGAA